CUCUGUAAAAACGAAAAGGGAAAAAUAAGACUUUAUACAGCACUGAAGUCAAAACUGUGCCACACCAAAAGAGAAUUCAUUGCACAGCUUGUGAAUGACCUUUGUGAAGGUCAAGGAAGUCAUCUAGAUAUCUGGGUCGCCGAACUAUUUGAUAUCAAUGACGAUGGAGUUAUUGAUCAUUUUGAGAAAACACUCUUUGAUGAUUGAAAGUUUCAUCCUUAUAGGAAAAUGACCGAUUUCUUUGGCAGCUGUGACGAGCACUUUGGAGAUUGGAUUAUUAUGAAAAUAUUUGAAACAUAUUAUAUGUUUUAAAUUGGUACGACUGUCUAGUAGUGUGGAUAUGAAUCUGGCUUUUGCAUCACCGUCCAUUAAUAAUUAAUUGUUUGUCACCAAGUGGUUUGCUAUGUUUUAAUAUCUAAUAGUAUGAUUUAAUUUUGUAUGUACGUCAUCAAUAGCAGAAUCUUAUAUUUCUUCGUUUGUAUGUCCGUUUUUACGACAUUCAGCGGACGUGGCAUAUCAUUUGUAUCGCACUUCGAAUGCAUUCACUAUAUUGUAUCAUACAUAACUAAGUUAUAAUAUAAUCUCGUCUUCAUAUUGUUUCAUAAAAUUUUAUCUUUUCCAUGAUGAAAUAAUGUUUUGUUGAUUGUUGCGUCAGUAUUUAAACAUGCAGCUACAAAAAUAUACCAUUGUUUGAUAUUAAAUUUUAUUAUAUGUGAUAAGUUAAAAUUUGUCAUUGAUUUCACUGUUCAAAAACAGUAUUUAUAACGCUUUUGCGUUUGAAUUGUCCGUCCAAAUAAAAAAAUUGUGAUUUGUGAUUUUCAUUCUUG
Molecule: long non-coding RNA, 827 nt
Organism: Ruditapes philippinarum (Manila clam)
Lineage: Eukaryota; Metazoa; Mollusca; Bivalvia; Venerida; Veneridae
Exons: 3
Source: RefSeq, a predicted model, not a curated record